CAAGAUUUUUCUGUUCUAUUUUCUUCCUUAAUUCGGUUGAAGGAGCUCUGUGAGCAGUGAGCACCGAAUAGGAAUUAGAGAGCGGGAAUUUAGAGAAAACUCCAGUCUCUUUGUUUCUCGCACUCUUUUGAGAAGAAGGAAAAGGAAACCAGUGCUUGAGUUGUAUUACUUGCUAGCUGAAAAAUCAUGGGAAAAGCUUCUAGAGAUAAGAGGGAUAUCUACUAUCGAAAAGCUAAAGAAGAAGGUUGGAGAGCUCGAAGCGCUUUCAAGCUUCUUCAGAUUGAUGAAGAAUUCAAUCUGUUUCAAGGAGUAAAACGGGUAGUAGACCUUUGUGCAGCGCCUGGAAGCUGGAGUCAGGUGCUUAGCCGAAAGUUGUAUCUUCCUGCCAAGCUCUCACCAGAUAAAAGGGAUGGUGAUCUUCCUCUUAUUGUUGCUAUUGAUUUGCAGCCCAUGGCUCCAAUCGAUGGUGUUAUUCAAGUGCAGGGCGAUAUCACAAAUGCUCGAACAGCUGAAGUGGUCAUCAGACAUUUUGAUGGAUGCAAGGCCGAUCUAGUAGUUUGUGACGGUGCUCCUGAUGUUACUGGACUUCAUGAUAUGGAUGAAUUUGUGCAGUCACAGCUGAUAUUAGCGGGUUUAACCAUUGUUGCUCAUAUACUUAGAGAGGGUGGAAAGUUCAUUGCAAAAAUAUUUCGUGGCAAAGAUACAAGUCUCCUGUACUGCCAGCUGAAACUGUUUUUCUCAGUUGUAACUUUCGCAAAACCGAAAAGCAGCCGCAAUUCCAGUAUAGAGGCAUUCGCAGUUUGUGAGAACUAUUCACCUCCGGAAGGUUUUAAUCCAAAUGAUUUACACCGCCUUCUGGAAAAGGUGGGCACUCCCUCUGGAGAGGAUGACCUAGACUGCAACAGUGGUUGGUUGGAAGGGCCAAAUAAGGUUUACAUCCCAUUUUUAGCUUGUGGGGACCUUAGUGGGUUUGAUUCAGAUCGUUCAUACCCUCUCCCAACUGUUGCAGAUGGAACUACCUACAAGAGCUUGGAUCCAGUACAGCCCCCUAUAGCCCCACCCUACAAAAGAGCACUUGAAAUGAGGAAAGCCUCCAGCCAUGGAAUCCGAGAGGUCGAUAACAUUUGAUCAGUAAUCUCCUUCUUGGGAUUGUCAGUUUUUGAUAGUAGUACUGAAACCGGGAAGGGAAAAGAAUCUUGCUUCCUUAGCUAUGUUAUUCGCCAAGGCAUUGUCAGUUCUGGGAUGUAAGAACAAGACGCAUUGGAUGUGCGACAGUUUCAGAUGGCAUCUUUUACUUUCCAGUCUGUAUCAGAUAGCAUCUUGUACUCUCCAGUCUGUGGUAAAUGCUGAAGAUAAAGCUUGAUGUCCAUACAUUAUCCCUCUGUAAAAGAGAACUAAUACAGUAAUACCCAGAGCUAUCAUGAUCCAUGAAGGAUGCAUCAAUGAAGAUCAACCGAUCAGCCGGAAGGUGAGGAGUCUAGUUCAUAGGGUUAGAUGAUGGGGGAGGGAGGUGAAAUGUUUUUCAGUUGUACAGAAGGAACAGUAGAAGAGGUAGGGGGAGUCAGUGGAUUGUUUUUGGGUUAUGAGGGCAGCUGGGUUGGAAAUAAUACUAGAGAAAUGGACAGCAUUGAUAUUUCUAGAUAAGAUUAUAGGAUAGGGGAGAUGCUGUGAUAUUUGUCAGAUCGAUCGUCAUCCGGAGGUGAAUCCAUCGCCUCAUAUUACCAGGAUUAAGCUGAAGUACUAUGAUGCAUAGAAAACGCCAACCUAAGGCAGUCACAGAUGGUCAAGAGAGGAAGAGAUGGCUCUCUGAUUCGGAUGCACUGAUGUUACACCAAAUGUAAAUGUUCAAAAAUAGUUUUACCGGCUUCAUAGCGCCUUGCGGUAUCUAGCUUCCUGAUCCACCACGUAACUGUACCUCUAUCAACGGCAGCUCUUAGGAAUAGAUAAUGUUCUUAUUAUGCUUACCUGCUCACCAACCACAUUUCCGCACACUUAUGAUUAACAAAGUUAGUUCAGAUCUUUCAACUAGGAUGUUGUUUCAACUACUUUCCACAUCGUUACGGCAUUCCUGUCCAUAUCGCCUUUGCGUCAUUUUAUAUGAGCCAGCCACUGAGAAUUCAACCUUAUUUGUGGUGGAGCCGUAUUUGAUAAGAUUUUCAUAUCAAAUGACGGUUGACUGACAGCACUGGUGUAUCUUUCUUUCAACUAGCUUUUCUUUUUGAAAUGUCAAGCCUAAACAGUAUUUCUUUGAAUUUCUUUUGGGGAAUGGCAGAUUGCAAUAGCCAGUAGUGGUCGGUUAGAAGGCAAAGCAAGGUUUGCUUUAACCAUUUUUAGUUUGUGCGGGCUUAAGUGAGUAUGACUAUUCAUUUUUUUUUUAACAGUGGUCUACACCUAGGUGCUUUUAGCCUAGGAACAACGGGAAACACUUCUUACCCAAGUUUUACAAUAACACAAGCGUCAAAACCUGAUUUGCUUUCAGGAUACUUACAUCGGUCAUGUCUAUCAACCGGAUAAUCAAUUACACGCCGACACGACACACCGCGAGAUCAUCUGAUGUCUUCUUUAUUGGGGUAGGAAGCGAGUUCGCAAAGAACCCACCAGAGCCUGGAUCCAGGAUAAACCUUCAACAGCUUGUCCUUGCAAAAGAGAACUUGAAAGCUUCCAGCCACUGAAUCUGAGUGGUCGGUAAUAUUUUAUCAGUAAUUUCCUUUUUGGGAUAGUCCAGUUUUGAUAGGUAGAGGCAGUAUUGAGUUGCCAACAUUUACCCUGACAGUCAUUCCAAAACCUGCAAUCUAUCAUCUAUAGCUUAACAAUUGUAGACUUAAAAUGGCCGUUUAAAGAUUACAUGUUCAUAAACUGCA
RNA transcript from Papaver somniferum (opium poppy), 2861 nucleotides. It is a transcript of the gene named putative tRNA (cytidine(32)/guanosine(34)-2'-O)-methyltransferase, with no coding region annotated. Lineage: Eukaryota; Viridiplantae; Streptophyta; Magnoliopsida; Ranunculales; Papaveraceae. The transcript has 14 exons. The record is from RefSeq and is a predicted model, not a curated record.